GACGAACGCUGGCGGCGUGCUUAACACAUGCAAGUCGAACGGUAAGGCCCUUCGGGGUACACGAGUGGCGAACGGGUGAGUAACACGUGGGUGAUCUGCCCUGCACUUCGGGAUAAGCCUGGGAAACUGGGUCUAAUACCGGAUAGGACCACUGCCUGCAUGGGUGGUGGUGGAAAGCUUUUGCGGUGUGGGAUGGGCCCGCGGCCUAUCAGCUUGUUGGUGGGGUGAUGGCCUACCAAGGCGACGACGGGUAGCCGGCCUGAGAGGGUGACCGGCCACAAUGGGACUGAGAUACGGCGCAGACUCCUACGGGAGGCAGCAGUGGGGAAUAUUGCACAAGGGGCGCAAGCCUGAUGCAGCGACGCCGCGUGAGUGAUGACGGCCUUCGGGUUGUAAACCUCUUUCAGCACCGACGAAGCGCAAGUGACGGUAGGUGCAGAAGAAGGACCGGCCAACUACGUGCCAGCCGCCGCAGUAA
This 478-nucleotide ribosomal RNA is filed under the name uncultured bacterium. RNAcentral describes it as "partial 16S ribosomal RNA". It matches the Rfam family "Bacterial small subunit ribosomal RNA", at positions 28 to 523 of the family's 1533-position model. The record is from RNAcentral.